CCGCCUCGCUCCUCUCCAGCCUGCUCCACCAACCCGGGCCUCGGCCUGCUAAGGUGAGCAACUCCGCCCCUAUUCCGCGCCCGGGGCACAAUAUAGACGUGUUGCCCCCAUGUUGUGUUAAGCUCGAAGCUCCAGAUUUGGCCCGUAACUGUUUUAUUAAGUUCCAUGAAUUUAUUCAUUUAACGAGUGCAUUAAUAAUUACAGAAAUAUGCCAUAUCUUGCAUUGCCCGUAUUUAAUAAAACGUACAUCGGAUUGAAAUGAAUUAGAUACGUAAAAUGAUCAGAAUUAUGUGUAGUAAUAACAUGUCACUUCCACACAUGCUAAAAAUACCUACACUUGCUGUUUGCAUUGUUUUGAGUGAUGCCAUAUUAAAAUAAUUUAAUUCAUAACAAAAUAACUGUGCAUCGGAUUUAAAAACUUUAUACAAGAAAAUGCUUAGAAUUUUGUGUAGUUUCACAAUAUCCAACUUUCAACCGUGUUUAAAAUGUUUAAUUUUUUCCUUUUCAUUUAUUUUGCACAUAUGCCAUGUUUAAACGGUUUAAUUCAUAACUAAAUAACCAAACGGUUUAAUUCAUAACUAAAUAACCGUAACUCUGAUUAAAAUGUUUGAUAUGUGUAACUUGACUAGAAAAAUGUGUAGAAUAACAUGAUGACAUUUAUUUUGUUGUUUAAUAAUUUUAAAAUUGUGUUAUAGGCAAAACAGUACCAAAAUCUUAAUUUGCAGGUGGGGACUUUCUGGAAUUGUUAUUCGUUGUUCCGGCCUGAGUUAAACUUUCCUAGACUUAUAUGUAGUUCCAUAAUAUUUUGCGGCACCCAUGAUUUAAAAUGCUUGUGGUUGUCAUUUGCAUACAUUUUGCAUCCACGUCAUAUUAUCUUGUGUGGGUCAUAUCUUUUAGACUGUAGUUUCAUUUUAGAUGAUCUAUAUAUGUGAAUCGACUAAAAUGACGAGUAGAAUCACAUGGUCCACUUCAUUUUCCUGUUUAGUAAAUAUAAAACAUGAUUAAUUCAGAUCUGGACCAAUUUCAAAAUUAACUUGUGGGGUCGCUUUGAAAAUACUAUAUGUUACUUCCGACCUAAUUUUAAAUGCCUAGAUAGUGUAGUUUAUUUAUGUUUCACGUCUUGCCAUGUUUAACAACAUUUGAUAUUGUCAUUUACCUAAACGGGAGUGAACUAAGUAAUUUAAAUAUGGAGUUUCGUCGACAUAUUGAGCUGCACUUAAUGCGUAGGAGUUGAUUGUGGUGCUUGCCAUGCCAUGCAUUAAUAAUUGGACAUGCAACAUAAUUGCUUGCACAUCGUGCCAUGCAUAUGUUGUGGGUAUUUAUUGUGUAUUGAUUGUUAUUUCUAGAUUGUUUCUUCUCGAUAGAAUUCCAAACCACGUUGGACUGUGAGGAUUCCUUCGACUAUGUUGGUUCGUUUACUUCACAGAUUUGUUCUUCUUCCAAGCGGGAUGUCAGGCAAGAUGAUCAUUUCCCUAGAUACCACUACUAUAAUUUCCAUGCUAGUUGUCUUGUUUUUUAAGGUAUGUCUCGCUGCCUACCACCUGUUAUGCUCGCCAACAUUUCCAUGAGAAGCCUCUAACCCCCUCCACAUCCCAGCAAACC
RNAcentral lists this long non-coding RNA (1602 nucleotides) under Hordeum vulgare. Its description in RNAcentral is "long non-coding RNA (HVUL_LNC000806)". Lineage: Eukaryota; Viridiplantae; Streptophyta; Magnoliopsida; Poales; Poaceae. The record is from RNAcentral.